Molecule: unclassified non-coding RNA, 387 nt
Filed under: soil metagenome
Description: partial contains 5.8S ribosomal RNA, internal transcribed spacer 2, and large subunit ribosomal RNA
Rfam family: 5.8S ribosomal RNA (bases 1-120)
Source: RNAcentral
GAUGAAGAACGUAGCGAAAUGCGAUAAGUAAUGUGAAUUGCAGAAUUCAGUGAAUCAUCGAAUCUUUGAACGCACCUUGCGCUCCUUGGUAUUCCGAGGAGCAUGCCUGUUUGAGUGUCAUGAAAUUCUCAACCUUUUCAGCUUUCUUUGUUGAUCAGGCUUGGAUGUGGGAGUAUGCGGGCUUCUCAGAAGUCGGCUCUCCUGAAAUGCAUCAGCGGGACCUUUGUUGCCUGGCUUUGGUGUGAUAAUUAUCUACGCCAUUGUAGUCAAGCAGCUUAAAAUGAGGUUUCAGCUUCUAACCGUCUCCCCUGAGACAACUUUUUGACAAUUUGACCUCAAAUCAGGUAGGACUACCCGCUGAACUUAAGCAUAUCAAUAAGCGGAGGA